AUCACUUCUUGCCUUUUGGCUAAGAGCAAGUGUGGUAUCUGUUCUUAUCAAAUUAAUACACAUAGAGUGCAUAAAUAUGCAUAUAGUAUCAUCUGACACCUUUGCCUGUGUAGAGAACACUCAGCCACAUUGUUUCAUGCUUGAAUUGGAUCAAUUACGACUGCAAGUUCUGUAACAAUAUAAAAUCUAUU
Small nuclear RNA from Rattus rattus (black rat), 191 nucleotides. RefSeq annotates it as U2 spliceosomal RNA. Lineage: Eukaryota; Metazoa; Chordata; Mammalia; Rodentia; Muridae. The record is from RefSeq and is a predicted model, not a curated record. The transcript has a single exon.